RNAcentral lists this long non-coding RNA (6909 nucleotides) under Triticum aestivum (bread wheat). Its description in RNAcentral is "long non-coding RNA (TAES_LNC009459)". Lineage: Eukaryota; Viridiplantae; Streptophyta; Magnoliopsida; Poales; Poaceae. The record is from RNAcentral.
GAACGUGUUAGAAUUAAUGGGCUAGGCCCGUAGCAAUUUCUGAAAUCUCAAAGCCCAUGUGUAAAAUGGCAAGUGGUGGUGCUAAGUUUAGUCCCACCCCGGAAGUUGAAGAAGAGUUGGACCUCUUUAUAUAGUGGGUUCCCUCCACCACUCUAAGUGGUGUGUGAGAAGAGAAAGGGAAAACCACACGCGCGCGCUCGCUCGCCUCGCCGGGCCGUGGCGAGGCGAGGCGUAUAUGCGACAUGCGCGUGAAUGGUCCGCCGAAAUCCGAUCCGUCUCCUUGCAGGAGCGCAGCUUCCUUUUGCCCGCCUUUGGUCCUAAUAUAUAUACAGUUCGUCAUCACGGGUCGUCUUCCGUCCUACGUGUUUGCUGCUGUUAUGCAUGUCUUGUUGUUCUUCUAGUUUGCUAGAUUAUUGCAUGCUAGUAUCUAUUCUAGUCAUGAAUUAUUUACUGGAAUUAAUCAUGAACUUGCCUAAUAUUCCAACAAUCCAAAAACCUAACUGAUAAGUUUACCGGUGUGCACUUUAAGAGGUGGCAGGUGAAGACCACGCUCUGGCUUACUGCUCUGAAAGUUUUUCACGUUAGUGUUGGUGCUCCAGAGGGAAUGACUGACGAAGUUCAGAGAAAAUUCCAGGAAGCCACUACUAUGUUUGUGGGAUGCAUUCUGAGUGUUCUUGCUGACCGUCUGUGUGAUGUGUACAUGCACAUAAAUGACGGAAAGGUUCUGUGGAAUGCACUGAAUGUAAAAUUCGGUGCAACAGAUGCAGGCAGUGAACUGUACAUCAUGGAGAGUUUUCAUGACUACAAGAUGGUGAAUAACCGUUCUGUGGUUGAACAACCUCAUGAGAUACAGUGCAUUGUGAAGGAACUUGAACUCCUUAAAUGUGUUCUACCCGACAAAUUCGUGGCUGGGUGCAUGAUUGCAAAGUUGUCUCCUUCAUGGAGGAAUUUCGCCACAACUCUGAAGCAUAAGAGACAGGAGAUAUCAGUUGAAAAUCUGAUUGCAUCUCUUGAUGUUGAAGAAAAAGCUCGGGCUAAAGAUACUACUGAAAAAGGAGGUGAGGUUCAGCUUACUGCUAACAUGGUGCAGAGGUACCCACAGAACAAGAACAAAGGGAAGAACAAACCUGUUUUCAACAAGCCUACCAAGACUACUACCUUCAAGAAGAAGAAGUUCAACAAGGCUGAGCUAGAGUGCUACGCCUGUGGGAAGCCUGGACACUUUUCCAAGGAAUGCCCUGAAUGUGCAGACCGCAGAGGGAAAGCAAGCUCCAAGACUGUCAACAUGGUGACCGCUAGCAAUACUGAUGGGUAUGGUAAUUUACCUAUUGUGCUUUCAGUAUUUCAAUCAUCUUCGUGGUGGAUUGAUUCGGGUGCUAACGUUCAUGUGUGUGCUGACAUCUCCCUGUUUACUUCUUAUCAGGUCGCAAGGGAUUCUUCUGUCCUAAUGGGGAAUGGGUCACAUGCCUCUGUUCGUGGCAUUGGCACGGUGGAUCUGAAGUUUACUUCGGGAAAGAUCAUGCAACUAAGGAACAUGCAGCAUGUCCCUACUAUGAACAAGAAUCUAGUUAGCGGCUCCCUUCUAUGUCGAGAUGGAUUUAAGGUAGUUUUAGAGUCCAAUAAAGUAAUCGUGUCAAGAUUUGGACAAUUUAUAGGAAAAGGCUAUGAGUGCGUAGGCUUGUUCCGCUUUUCCCUUUCAGAUUUUUGCAAUAAGUUAAUAAACCAAAUUUGUGCUAGUGUUAAUGAUGAUGCAAGUAUUUGGCACUCUCGUUUAUGUCAUAUUAAUUUUGGUUUAAUGUCUCGGCUAUCCAGCAUGAGUUUAAUUCCGAACUUCACAGUUGCCAAAGGUUCUAAGUGCCAUAGUUGUGUGCAAUCUAAGCAACCUCGAAAGCCUCAUAAGGCUGCCGAGGAGAGAAACUUGGCACCUCUAGAACUCAUACAUUCUGAUCUUUGUGAGAUGAAUGGUGCGUUGACAAAAGGUGGAAAGAGAUAUUUCAUGACUUUGAUUGAUGAUGCGACUAGAUUUUGCUAUGUUUAUUUGUUGCAAACUAAAGAUGAAGCAUUAGACUACUUUAAAAUCUAUAAAGCUGAAGUUGAAAAUCAACUAGAGAGAUAGAUCAAGCGUCUUAGGUCCGAUCGUGGUGGAGAGUAUUUUCCCAAAGUUUUUGAUGAAUUUUAUGAGGAACAUGGUAUUAUUCAUGAGAGGACGCCUCCCUAUUCACCUCAAUCAAAUGGAGUGGCCGAGAGGAAAAACCGCACAUUGACUGACUUGGUGAAUGCCAUGUUAGACACUGCUGGUUUAUCUAAGGCAUGGUGGGGGGAGACUCUAUUGACUUCAUGUCAUGUCCUGAAUAGAGUUCCCAACAAUAAUAAGGAGAAAACCCCUUAUGAGGAGUGGGUUGGGAGAAAACCAUCACUUUCUUAUUUGCGCACUUGGGGAUGUUUGGCAAAGGUCAAUAUUCCUAUUCCUAAGAAACGCAAACUUGGACCAAAGACAGUGGAUUGUGUCUUUCUAGGGUAUGCUCAACGGAGCAUUGCUUAUAGGUUUUUAGUGGUAAAAUCUGAAGUACCUGAUAUGCAUGUUGAUACUAUAAUGGAAUCUCGUGAUGCAACAUUUUUUGAGAACAUAUUUCCUAUGAAAGAUAUGCAUAGCAUUGCUAGUUUUUCUUCUGAGAUAAUUCCUGAAUCUAGUACAACUGAUGAAUAUUUCGAACAAUCACAUGAGGAAGUCCUUGAGAAGGAUAACAAUGAAGUUCCUAUAAGGAACAAGAGACAAAGGAUUGCAAAAUCCUUUGGUGAUGAUUUCAUUGUAUACCUUGUGGACGACACACCCAAGACGAUUGCAGAAGCAUAUGCAUCUCCGGAUGUAGAUGAUUGGAAAGAAGCUGUUCAUAAUGAGAUGGACUCAAUUCUUUCUAAUGGAACUUGGGAACUAACUGAUAGACCAUAUGGUUGUAAACCUGUGGGUUGUAAGUGGGUGUUCAAAAAGAAGCUAAAGCCUGAUGGUACUAUUGAUAAGUACAAGGUGCGGCUAGUGGCCAAGGGCUACACUCAGAAAGAAGGCGAAGAUUACUUUGACACCUAUUCACCCGUUGCUAGAAUGACCACCAUUCAAGUGUUACUUUCCUUGGCUGCCUCUUAUGGUCUUAUCAUUCAUCAAAUGGAUGUAAAGACAGCUUUUCUCAAUGGAGAGUUGGAAGAGGAGAUCUAUAUGGAUCAGCCUGACGGGUUUGUGGUAAAGGGUGAAGAGAGAAAGGUGUGCAAGUUGUUAAAAUCUUUGUAUGGUCUGAAACAGGCACCUAAGCAAUGGCAUGAGAAGUUUGAAAGAACUCUGACUUCUGCAGGAUUUGUCAUUAACGAGGCUGAUAGGUGUGUUUACUAUCGCCAUGGUGGGGGCAAUAGUGUCAUAUUAUGUUUGUAUGUGGACGACAUACUGAUCUUUGGUACAAACAUUAAUGCAAUUAAUGAGGUCAAGUCUUUUCUAUCAAAAAGUUUUGACAUGAAAGAUCUGGGAGNNNNNNNNNNGGAUGUUUGGCAAAGGUCAAUAUUCCUAUUCCUAAGAAACGCAAACUUGGACCAAAGACAGUGGAUUGUGUCUUUCUAGGGUAUGCUCAACGGAGCAUUGCUUAUAGGUUUUUAGUGGUAAAAUCUGAAGUACCUGAUAUGCAUGUUGAUACUAUAAUGGAAUCUCGUGAUGCUUCAUUUUUUGAGAACAUAUUUCCUAUGAAAGAUAUGCAUAGCAUUGCUAGAUUUUCUUCUGAGAUAAUUCCUGAAUCUAGUACAACUGAUGAAUAUUUCGAACAAUCACAUGAGGAAGUCCUUGAGAAGGAUAACAAUGAAGUUCCUAGAAGGAACAAGAGACAAAGGAUUGCAAAAUCCUUUGGUGAUGAUUUCAUUGUAUACCUUGUGGACGACACACCCAAGACGAUUGCAGAAGCAUAUGCAUCUCCGGAUGUAGAUGAUUGGAAAGAAGCUGUUCAUAAUGAGAUGGACUCAAUUCUUUCUAAUGGAACUUGGGAACUAACUGAUAGACCAUAUGGUUGUAAACCUGUGGGCUGUAAGUGGGUGUUCAAAAAGAAGCUAAAGCCUGAUGGUACUAUUGAUAAGUACAAGGCGCGGCUAGUGGCCAAGGGCUACACUCAGAAAGAAGGCGAAGAUUACUUUGACACCUAUUCACCAUUGCUAGAAUGACCACCAUUCGAGUGUUACUUUCCUUGGCUGCCUCUUAUGGUCUUAUCAUUCAUCAAAUGGAUGUAAAGACAGCUUUUCUCAAUGGAGAGUUGGAAGAGGAGAUCUAUAUGGAUCAGCCUGAUGGGUUUGUGGUAAAGGGUGAAGAGAGAAAGGUGUGCAAGUUGUUAAAAUCUUUGUAUGGUCUGAAACAGGCACCUAAGCAAUGGCAUGAGAAGUUUGAAAGAACUUUGACUUCUGCAGGAUUUGUCAUUAACGAGGCUGAUAGGUGUGUUUACUAUCGCCAUGGUGGGGGCAAUAGUGUCAUAUUAUGUUUGUAUGUGGACGACAUACUGAUCUUUGGUACAAACAUUAAUGCAAUUAAUGAGGUCAAGUCUUUUCUAUCAAAAAGUUUUGACAUGAAAGAUCUGGGAGAAGCCGAUGUAAUUCUAAACAUCAAACUUAUUAAGGAUGAGAGUGGGAUUACAUUAACACAAUCUCACUAUGUUGAGAAGGUCUUGAACCGAUUCGGUUUUAUGGAUAGCAAGCCUUCUCCAACACCUUAUGAUCCCAGCGUGACACUCAGAAAGAACAAGAAAGAAACGAGAGAUCAAUUAAGAUACUCUCAAAUUGUCGGUUCACUCAUGUACUUAGCUAGCGCUACAAGACCAAAUAUCUCUUUUGCUGUGAGCAAACUAAGUAGGUUCAUGUCCAACCCGGGUGAUGAUCAUUGGCAUGCACUAGAAAGGGUCUUGCGCUAUCUGAGAGGUACUAUGAGUUACAGAAUUACUUAUUCAGGGCAUCCUACUGUGCUAGAAGGAUAUAGUGAUUUAAAUUGGAUCUCCGAUGUUGAUGUACUUUACGCAACAAGUGGGUAUGUAUUUACUCAUGGUGGUGGCGCAGUGUCAUGGAGGUCUUGCAAGCAAACCAUAUUGACGAGGUCAACUAUGAAAGCAGAAUUAACUGCUUUGGACACAGCUACUGUUGAGGCAGAAUGGCUGCGUGAGCUCUUGAUGGACUUGCCGGUUGUUGAAAAACCUGUACCGGCUAUUCUUAUGAAUUGUGAUAACCAAACGGUUAUCGCUAAAGUGAACAAUUCUAAAGAUAAUGCAAAGUCAUCAAGACACGUGAAAAGACGUUUGAAGUCUGUCAGGAAGUUGAGAAACUCCGGAGUAAUAACUAUUACGUAUAUACAAACAGACAAAAACCUGGCAGAUCCCUUUACAAAGGGACUAUCACGAAAUGUGAUAGAUAUUGCAUCGAGGGAGAUGGGUAUGAGACCCAUAGAUGUUACACCAUAGUAGUAACCCAACCUUUGUGAUCGNNNNNNNNNNGGUGAUGAUCAUUGGCAUGCACUAGAAAGGGUCUUGCGCUAUCUGAGAGGUACUAUGAGUUACGGAAUUACUUAUUCAGGGCAUCCUGCUGUGCUAGAAGGAUAUAGUGAUUCAAAUUGGAUCUCCGAUGUUGAUGUACUUUACGCAACAAGUGGGUAUGUAUUUACUCAUGGUGGUGGCGCAGUGUCAUGGAGGUCUUGCAAGCAAACCAUAUUGACGAGGUCAACUAUGGAAGCAGAAUUAACUGCUUUGGACACAGCUACUGUUGAGGCAGAAUGGCUGCGUGAGCUCUUGAUGGACUUGCCGGUUGUUGAAAAACCUGUACCGGCUAUUCUUAUGAAUUGUGAUAACCAAACGGUUAUCGCUAAAGUGAACAAUUCUAAAGAUAAUGCAAAGUCAUCAAGACACGUGAAGAGACGUUUGAAGUCUGUCAGGAAGUUGAGAAACUCCGGAGUAAUAACUGUUACGUAUAUACAAACAGUCAAAAACCUGGCAGAUCCCUUUCCAAAGGGACUAUCACGAAAUGUUAUAGAUAUUGCAUCGAGGGAGAUGGGUAUGAGACCCAUAGAUGUUACACCAUAGUAGUAACCCAACCUUUGUGAUCGGAGAUCCCGUGAAUUAGGAUCUGGGAAGAACAAGCUAUUGGUUAACUGAGGAGAGUAAUAACUAAUGAUCGUCUCCAAGUGAAGAUGCAAAACUCUCAGAGCUGUAAGGCUCAGAUCUAUAAGGCAGGUUGGCAACAUGCCUUAACGUGGUUCUAUUGGCUAUAAUUAGCAAAGACGCUGUCCUACAGAGCAUUCUUGAAAGAACACACCUAUAUGAGUUCUGACUGUAAACGUCGCAGUCUAUGAGAUUUGGGUGAUCUCUAGUAAGCUCACGAAGAGACCAGGGAGUAUGACGUAUAAGCUCCAAACCGCGGGGUAGCCUACUGGCGGUCAGGUACUGGUUAAGACUUUGAGUGAAACCUGUUCACACAAAACUAGCAAUUCAAGGCAUAGUCCAUUGUCAAGUUGUGAAUGGAUGUAGCUUAAAGUUCUAGGCAGAAGUUCAACUUAACAGUCUCUGCUGAAACACUGGUAUAUUAAACAAGUGGUGAGAGAAGGCAAAUCUCUAAAUGGGUAUUUGAGAUCUGGUGGGGGAUUGUUAGAAUUAAUGGGCUAGGCCCAUAGCAAUUUCUGAAAUCUCAAAGCCCAUGUGUAAAAUGGCAAGUGGUGGUGCUAAGUUUAGUCCCACCCCAGAAGUUGAAGAAGAGUUGGACCUCUUUAUAUAGUGGGUUCCCUCCACCACUCUAAGUGGUGUGUGAGAAGAGAAAGGGAAAACCACACGCGCGCGCUCGCUCGCCUCGCCGGGCCGUGGCGAGGCGAGGCGUAUAUGCGACAUGCGCGUGAAUGGUCCGCCGAAAUCCGAU